RNAcentral lists this long non-coding RNA (1204 nucleotides) under Homo sapiens (human). RNAcentral describes it as "non-protein coding lnc-FAM217A-4:1". The record is from RNAcentral. Lineage: Eukaryota; Metazoa; Chordata; Mammalia; Primates; Hominidae.
GAGAAAACCAGCCCAUUGAAAAUAUCCUGCCAAGUCAUUUGGGGAUUUGUGGCAGAAACUCCAGUCUUGCGUCUGGACAUGGACCAUUUCUGGGGAAAACUGAGAGCUUUGCUAAAAGGAAGAGGGGAAAGCGGGGGCGCGCGUAUCCAGUGGUAUUUUCCCAUCUGGUACUUUGUAGAAGCCUUGCUCCCAGUAUGUACCUAAUUAAGGCUCCACAGACCUACGAGGCCCCAAGAGAGAGUGGUUACAUCAGUGCAGUCCUCAGCAGAACUGAGGAAAGAGCUUCAUCGUCCAAAACUGAGGAAAUGCCCAGAUUAACACAGAAUAGUAAACAAGGGAUCUUUCAAUUAUGGAAUUGUCCUCUUAAUGAAGGAAGUACCAUAGAGAAGAGGUCACCAUAGUGACAGCUAAUCAACAUGAUCCUUUCAUUUCUCAACUCGUCUUCAGAUAAAGCAAAGGACGGCAUAAGACAGACAAUAGAGACACAAUGAAGAAUCAAAGCCAUGCCUCCACUGAUCACUCUAUCAGAGUGUGGUUAGAAGCUGCAUGCCUACUUCAGAUCACUACAAGAGUUCCUGUUGUCCUAUCAACUGCUGAUGAUUUUAACAUUAAGUUUUUCCAAUUGUAGUCCCGCAUGACAAAUACCGCAUGACUGGCAUCCAAAGUUUCCUGUUUGUCGUUUUUCUUGGUUUCAGAUCAAGACGAGUAAGUGACGUACCCCUUCCUUCUGGAAGACUAUCUCAUGGCUGAAAAUAAUUUUGAAUAUAUUUAGGUUGUACAUCAAGACUUUACCUCACUCCAUUUGUGAUGUUUCUGGGCUGCUUUUAGAAUACACACGAGUUCAUGCAGCUGUUGGAUGUGCCACAAUUUUUAAAGAUGGCACUGUGAUGUGAUUUUUCAGAGUUCUCCAAUAAUCUGUGAUUGCAUCAAGCAGCAUGCUUUUGCAUGGUGUUACAAUGAACUCUAAAGUUAAUAUAAAAUGUGAACUUACGAUAAUAGCCUUCUGCAUCGGUCCAGUUAUCUCUGAGGUUGGGAUUCUCUUUGAAAUCUUUUCCAAUGCCAGCGGCCCGAAGACGAGCACUCUGAAAUUAAAGAGGCAACAUGAACAGUUUACCCACUUGUCAGACAUUUAACGCACUUCCUUUAAAACACAAAAGGGUAACACCAGAUAUAAUUUAAUAAAAGCAUUUUAUUCCAAAUUAAA